Molecule: ribosomal RNA, 91 nt
Filed under: Acetobacterium malicum
Lineage: Bacteria; Bacillati; Bacillota; Clostridia; Eubacteriales; Eubacteriaceae
Description: partial 16S ribosomal RNA
Rfam family: Bacterial small subunit ribosomal RNA
Source: RNAcentral
AGCUGCCGAAGGUGGGGUCAGUAAUUGGGGUGAAGUCGUAACAAGGUAGCCGUAUCGGAAGGUGCGGCUGGAUCACCUCCUUUCUAGGGAA